UUUCAUAUUCUUCUUCAUGAGACCUCACAGUGGCACCCUUACACACCAUGAAGAGCAUCCCAUUGAAUGGAAAGAGAGGGUCAUGAAACCCUACUUGCUCCUAUGACCGGACAACCUGGUGAUUAUCCAAUCUGAGUACUUUGCUACUCAAAACAUCUAAUCUAAACAAAUAAUAGUCAGAUCUAAAAAUAAACUAAUUUAGAUUUAAUAUAAAUCAUAA
This 220-nucleotide long non-coding RNA is filed under the name Elaeis guineensis (African oil palm). Its description in RNAcentral is "long non-coding RNA (EGUI_LNC073054)". Lineage: Eukaryota; Viridiplantae; Streptophyta; Magnoliopsida; Arecales; Arecaceae. The record is from RNAcentral.